Molecule: ribosomal RNA, 394 nt
Filed under: uncultured bacterium
Lineage: Bacteria
Description: bacterial SSU rRNA
Rfam family: Bacterial small subunit ribosomal RNA
Source: RNAcentral
GUGCCAGCAGCCGCGGUAAGACGAACCGUCCUAACGUUGUUCGGAAUCACUGGGCUUAAAGGGCGCGUAGGCGGCUUGCCAAGUCAGGGGUGAAAUCCUGCAGCUUAACUGUAGAAGAGCCUUUGAUACUGGCGAGCUCGAGGGAGGUAGGGGUGGGUGGAACUUCUGGUGGAGCGGUGAAAUGCGUUGAUAUCAGAAGGAACGCCGGUGGCGAAAGCGACCCACUGGAUCUCUACUGACGCUGAGGCGCGAAAGCUAGGGGAGCAAACGGGAUUAGAUACCCCGGUAGUCCUAGCCCUAAACGAUGGGUACUAGAUUGCAGACUUGACAUGGGUUUGCAAUCGAAGCAAAAGUAUUAAGUACCCCGCCUGGGGAGUAUGGUCGCAAGGCUGAA